GAAAAAAAAAUUUUCCUAAACGACUCGUCGUGUGUCGUUAAAAAAUCUCAUAAAUGCAAAAAUUUUCAUACGCAUUCGCAGAGAAGCAGAGGAAAAAGAAAUGUCAGGCCUACCAGACGAGCUAUGGAGGCAAAUCCUGGAAAUCGGAAUCCGAAACUCCAAAUUCAGCUACAAAGAUCUCUGUUGCAUCUCUAUCUCCUGCAGACGUCUCCACCGAUUAUCCAGUGAGGACUCGCUCUGGUCUUACCUCCUCUUUUCAGACUUCCCUUCACCAUCCCAGCAACAAAACCCUAACAGCAACCACCGCAGUUCAACUUCACCAUCUGCCAAAUCUACCUACAGAAUCAAGUUUGAGAGGGAGAAGGACAGGAAGGUGGCGGCACAUAGGAGGGCGGUGCUUAGAAAAGAAAGUGAAAUUGUGGAGCGCAAGAGGAAGAUAAGGGAAAUAGAGACCCGAUUGCGUCUAGAGACUGAGAAAAUGACAGCAGCCUCUAUCGAAUUGUCCAAUUUACACAAGGUCAGGCAAGCUUCUGUGGCUUUGAAUGUGUGGCAGCCAGAGGUAGUCAGGGGUAGACAAAAGGAAAUAGUGGAGGUGUAGUUUCUGUUGAAUCUCGAGUUCAUUCACUUGAGAUGGAGCUUAAGCUUUGCAAGCAACAAAU
RNAcentral lists this unclassified non-coding RNA (659 nucleotides) under Hevea brasiliensis (rubber tree). Lineage: Eukaryota; Viridiplantae; Streptophyta; Magnoliopsida; Malpighiales; Euphorbiaceae. The record is from RNAcentral.